AUUUGCGCAUACUUUAUUGUGGCAGAAACGCGUUGGUCAUGUAACAGGGUGAAAUUUUUUUCCCUUUUGUUCAUACAGCAUCAAACGACACGCGAUAGUUCUGGCGGUAAUCAACUAUUCAAGAUGGUAGACCUGUCAAUGUAAAAGACAGGAUUUUCUUCUCCGACUGCAGGUGCAAGGAUUAUGUGUUUGAAACUUAGAAAAGUUUGCAGUAGAAUAUU
Long non-coding RNA from Daphnia pulex (common water flea), 221 nucleotides. RefSeq lists it as uncharacterized. The record is from RefSeq and is a predicted model, not a curated record. The transcript has 2 exons. Lineage: Eukaryota; Metazoa; Arthropoda; Branchiopoda; Diplostraca; Daphniidae.